UGAGGCAGGAGAAUCGCUUGAACCCAGGAGGUGGAGGUUGCAGUGAGCUGAGAUUGCACCAUUGCACUUCAGCCUGGGUGACAGAGCAAGACUCUGUCUCAAAAAAAA
Molecule: microRNA precursor, 108 nt
Filed under: Chlorocebus sabaeus (green monkey)
Lineage: Eukaryota; Metazoa; Chordata; Mammalia; Primates; Cercopithecidae
Description: miRNA (ENSCSAG00000022751.1)
Source: RNAcentral